Molecule: long non-coding RNA, 14281 nt
Filed under: Panax ginseng (ginseng)
Lineage: Eukaryota; Viridiplantae; Streptophyta; Magnoliopsida; Apiales; Araliaceae
Description: long non-coding RNA (PGIN_LNC017943)
Source: RNAcentral
AGCUAUGAUAAGAUUAAUAAGCAGCUUGAGAAGGUCAUGAGGGUCACAGAAUCAGAGAAGGUCCCCAAUCUUUACAUUAAGGCUCUUGUUAUGUUGGAGGACUUCUUGAAUCAGGCCAUGGCGAAUAAGGAGGCCAAGAAGAAAAUGAGUAGCAGUAAUGCUAAGGCCUUGAAUUCAAUGAAACAGAAACUGAAGAAAAACAACAGGCAGUAUGAGGAGUUAAUUAAUAAGUGCAGGGAGAAUCCUGAGAGUGAGGAGGAAGCUGAUGCAGAUGAGGAGACGGAUGAGGACGAGGACGAGGAUUUGGAGUUUGAGGAGGACCCAUCAAAGAUUGCUGUUGGAGCAGAUUCAGGAGAGGAUGAUGAGGACGAAGAAGAUGAAGAUGCAGCUGAUACUGGUAGUGGUUGGGAGAAGAAAAUGAGCAAGAAAGAUAAGCUUAUGGACAAGCAAUUCAAGGAUCCAAGUCAGAUCACGUGGGAUACAGUGAAUAAAAAGUUCAAAGAGAUUGUUGCUGCACGUGGCAAGAAGGGGACAGGAAGAAUUGAGCUUAUUGAGCAGCUUACGUUCUUGACCAGGGUGGCUAAGACUCCUGCUCAAAAGCUUGAGAUUCUUUUCAGUGUUGUGUCUGCGCAAUUUGAUGUUAAUCCAAGUCUCAGUGGACACAUGCCCAUAAAUGUGUGGAAGAAAUGUGUGCAGAAUAUGCUUGUUAUACUUGACAUUCUUGCCCAGUAUCCGGACAUUCUUGUUGAUGACACAGUAGAGCCAGAUGAGAACGAAACCCAGAAAGGACCAGACUUUAAGGGAACAAUCCGGAUUUGGGGAAACUUGGCGGCAUACCUUGAAAAAAUAGAUGUUGAGUUCUUCAAGAGCUUGCAGAUCAUUGAUCCUCACACUCGUGAAUAUGUUGAAAGGCUCAGAGAUGAACCCAUGUUUUUUGUUCUUGCUCAAAAUGUACAGGAAUAUUUAGAACGGGUUGGGGAUUAUAAGGCUGCAGCUAAGGUAGCCUUAAGAAGGGUUGAACUCGUUUAUUAUAAACCACAGGAAGUAUAUGGUGCUAUGAAGAAAUUGGCUGAGCAAACUGAAUACGGAGAGAAUGCCCUAUCUGGUUUGGAAUCCAAAAUUGUUGAGGAAACUAGGGGCCCAACUGCAUUUAUUGUAACUCCAGAGCUUGUGCCUCGGAAACCCACAUUUCCGGAGAGUAGUAGGACACUGAUGGAUAUUCUAGUAUCCCUCAUAUACAAGUAUGGUGAUGAGCGAACUAAGGCCCGUGCAAUGCUUUGUGACAUUUAUCAUCAUGCUAUAAUGGACGAAUUCUUAACCUCCCGUGACUUGUUGCUAAUGAGUCACUUACAGGAUAGUAUACAGCACAUGGACAUCUCAACCCAAAUCCUUUUUAACAGGGCAAUGGCACAGCUUGGCCUAUGCGCAUUUAGGGUGGGACUUAUUGCUGAAGGGCACGGUUGCCUAUCUGAACUAUAUUCAGGUGGGAGGGUGAAAGAGUUGCUGGCACAGGGUGUCUCUCAAAGCCGGUAUCAUGAGAAGACUCCAGAACAGGUACUAAUUUGGUGCAAACUUAUGCAUAUAUUACUUUGAACUUUCAUCCUUUCCAGCUGUCUUCUCCUAUUGUUAUGUUAGUUUGCUGUUACAUUCUCAAAUGAAAUUAUGCCCAACUCCGGCUUGAUAAUUUUUUUUAUUAAUAAUGUGAUAGCUGGGAGUAUGUCAGGAUGUCUCUUCUUAGCGGGAGUCAUAAGGCAACUUUAUAGUUUUUGAGAGUCGGAUGAUUAUAUUUUUUGAAGAUAGCUAUCAAUGGAUGUAUGAAUUUUCUGUGGUCAUUGUCAUAGUUGUUCUCAUCUUCUUCUGUUUCCCUUUUUGUGGAUGAAUAUGUUCUUCGGGAAUGUUUGUGUUACUGAUAUUCUGUUUGAAGAAGCUUCUAGUCAUUGCGAAUAAAUGAAAAUGUACCAAUGCUUACUACAGUAAGUUGAGGGAAGCUAUAAUGACUGUUAGCAGGUGCAUUUAGUGAGAUAUUCAAGGCAUAUGAACCUCAAAGCAUUUUACUGAUGGUAAGUAUCCUGUAUAUUUCUCAAGAAAUAGACUGACACUAAUAUUAAUCCAAAAAUGUAAAUGGGCAUAUGGUUGGAAUAGAGCUUGUCAAUAUGUCCUGUUCUUUAAUUAGUUUUAUGACAAUUAAUUAGCUUUACUAGUUGGUCUAUAGGAGUAAAGGCAUGAAUUAUGGCAUAUAACGAGUCUAAUUUAUGUUGCAUGCAAUGAGUUAAAUGUUUUUUUGCAUCUUUCUUUGUCCUAAAAGUUCCAAACAAAGUGGACAGCUGGCACUCUUUUUGUGAUAUUUGAUCUCAUUAUUUUGUACCUACACAAGUGUGUUAUGUCAUCUUUCCUGAUAGUAAUAGAUGCAAAGAUCCUUGUUUUAAUUUGUGAACUGCAAUUCUUUCACAGAGCACAGCUCUACAAGAUAUCCUUGUUUUAGAUAUGGGCAUGGUUCGAAAUUGCGUUCGAGGCGCACGCCUUGAGGCGCGCCUCAUGGCGAGACUUACGCGAUGUAGGGAAAAUCAGAAGCUCGCGUCUCAUUUGGCUGAGGCUUAUGCCUCAGUGCGUUGCGCCUUAAGGCAUAAUGAGACUUCUUAAUUUGAUUUUUAAAAAUCCUAAGUCUGCUCGUACCUUCACUUAGCCAAUCGACAGUUGCGACUUUACUUCUUCACUUCUUCUUGUUUGACAGCUCGAGGCUCGAUCGACAGCCUACAUGCAGUUCUCACAUGAGUUAUGUCUUCUUCUUCUUCAACAGUAUUUUCAGUUUCUCUCUCUUUUUUUUAGUCACUUCACACUUGCAAUUUUUAAUGAUCUGCAACAUCUUUUUUUUUAUUACAAUUAUAUAUAUAUAAUAAUAUAACAAUCAUAUGUAUAUAUAUAUAUAUAGUAAUAACAUUACAAUUAAUUAAAUUUCAAUUAACUGUAUAUGUAUAUAUAACAGUAUGUAUAUGUAUAUAUGUAUUAAUUAAAUUUUAGUGAUCUUAGGAAAUUUUAUUAUGGGCAAAUUUCAGUAUCAUGUAAUAAGUAUUAACAAUAUAUUUUAUUUUAUUACAGUGAAUUGUUUAUUAUGGGUAAGAAAGAUCCAGCUUGGAAAUAUAGCACCGAAGUUCUUGGAGUUAAUAAAUCUCAUUUAUAUGUGGAAUGCAAUUUUUAUAAGAAAAUUUGUAAAGGAGGGACUUUUAGGUCUUCAAAUUGAGGCUUCCGCCUCGCCUCGUCCGGAGAAAAACGAUUCGUACCGCUUUUAGCUUUUUCGAACAUUGGAUACGAGAAAUGAUAUGGGAGUAUUUUAACCCGUUCUACCUUAGUGAAUAUUUUCAGGUGUCGGUGCUGCAAUGUCACAGAACAACACAUCACCUUCAAAGGCAUCUUCACACCCCAAAUUAUCUAAAGAUUAAUUAUUGUUGUUUGUAAAGUUGCAAUACUGAAAUCAAGUUGAAGCUUUAAGAAAUUGGGAAAUUUAUUGAUACAAAAUGGUAACUGUGUGAAAAAGCCUAGACGUAAGAAAUAGCUGAAAUUUAUUUAUUUUUUACGAAGGUUAAAUAGAUAUUUGUGUACCUCAUGCUUUUGUGGUUGAACAUAAAUAUAGUGGAUGCAUUGAUUCUCUCUUGAAGAGUUUCUAUACAUGUUUUUGAAAUGACGUGCAUUGGUUUUUUGGUUAUUUGUUUUAUUCUUCUUUUGAUUAAUAGAACACAUGUACAUGAGCUGAGUUGGUUUUUGAUUUGUUGUGUUGUCUUUUUUCACUGUAUACUCGGUGUUUUCAUGGGUUACACCCCAAUUUUGGAGCUUCAAGUGAAAGUUUGAUCACUCAAAGAAAUGUUGGGUAUUGCAUGAGAAGAGUGCAUUGCAGAAUGGUCAAAUGUUGCGGAAAAUCAAUUAUAUCUUGGCGAACCAAUAAGUUUUUGUCUAUUAAUCCAACAUAACUCUUCAGAUUUUCCAAUGUUUCGAAACCAGACUCGGACCUACCGGUUGACCGGUUAAACAAGGGAACUGGUUGGUAAAACGAGCAAUUAAGCCCAUUGAACUGGAGCUCUUCAAAAACCACUAAAUAUUGGUGACUCGACGGACCGGUUGAACCGACGAACCGUGUCGAGUCACAGUUUCCUUUUGUUCGUAGCUUUAUCAUGACAAAGAAAUGAAGGUUUCAUUUAAGCUAGAUGGUGCUCUCUCACUCUCCACCAUCUCUGUCUCUCUCAAGUCUCACAUGCAAUGUUCACCAGUCCAAACCAAUUAAAGCUACCUAAGAACAUAGAUGAGGGAUACAUUUAACUACAACACUUUUCAUAGAAUUCUAAUCGAGUAAAAGCAUAUUGCAACAGGAAAAUUUUGAUGAAAGAAGCAAAUUUAGUUUCAUAGAUAGAACGUAAAUCAGAGAGAAGUAAAUGAGGGGGGAAGAAAGAAAUGGUCUAUAUGUAAUUAGCUUUAAGUGGUUUCGAAAUUCGUGGAGCCUGUGGGUUUUGGUGUGAGAAUUUAUGUGGUAUCAUGAGAUAGAGAGAGAGAGUCAAUGAGUUUGUGAGAGAGAGAGAGAGUCAAUGAGUCUGCCAUAUUUUCUUUGGCAACAGAUGGAAAAUAGCUUGGUCCAGUGAAUCGUUACAUUUGACAGCUUCUUUUCUAAUAUACUGUUUGAAUUUUAUCAAUUUUGUAAUAGACAUUUUCAUGUUUUGUUUCUUAAUCUCCUAAAAUAAUACUUUAUGUUUAAACACUUUGCAAGCGUUAUUAUACACGACAUAUUAUAUUGAGAUGCAUGAAUAUGAAUUAUUGCAUAAAAUAUUGUUUAAUUCUAAAUUGUAGACUAGUAUAAAUUAUUUUAUUUUAUUUGUGCAUAUGUAAUAUAUAUUACAUGAAAUUUAUAAUAAUUAUUAAUGUAUUUAAAUAUUUAUUACGUAAUGUUGAUGUCAGGGGAUUCAAUAACGGUUCGACCAUGGGUUGAACCAGUGACCCAUCCCGAUUACUUUUCCGGUUCGAUGUCCGGUCCAAGUUUGAAAACAUUUUUUUUUACCCAAUAUUAUGACACUUAAUUGUUAUAUCAGUAGGUUAAAUUGGGAGAGUUUACCUUAGAAGUUAAAGUACCGGUGCUUUGUUUGUUUCAACUAAAAAUAUGAAGAACUCCAACCAUGAAGUCAUGAACACACUGAGUAUACAGUGAAAGAAGACAGCACAGCUUAUAGAAAAUACUCUAAUCUACCGACACUUUCUAUUUUCUAUUAUUAGCAGAUAGACUUUGCUCUUCCGACCAGACAUCUCUAGGUGUAAUGAGAAAUAGUGUAAUGGGAGAUAAUUUCAAAACUGAUAAAGUGGACUAUUUUUUUUUCUGGUUAAAAGAAAAGAAAAAAGAGUACAAGUUGCACGUCACAUAUCAUUGGUGUAGUGUUAUCAAAGUCUUUUGAGAACCUUUAUACUCUGUAGCUACUCGUCAAUGAAAAGGUUUUUGAUAGUUUGAGAAACUCGAAUCUUUUUCUGUUUGCAUUCUACCCAGAAAAUUAGCAUGCUUUGCGUCAGUCCUGGUGCACGUGUAUAUCAAUAGUUGACAAUGCUGGAGUGCUAGUCUAUCAAGUCCGUGGUGGGUUCAGGGCCGUCUCUUUGAAUCAUUUUUGCUGACAUAUAACAUGUGUUUCAGUAGAAGUAUAACCAGUUGUAUUUCUGCAGAUGUAAUAUUCUUCCAUAUUUGUCCUCAGUUGAUUAUUUCUAGUCAAUUCUAGCUUUUAAUAUAUUUUUCAUUAAUUUUGUCAGGAACGAAUGGAGAGGAGGCGUCAAAUGCCUUACCACAUGCACAUAAAUCUUGAGCUUCUGGAGGCUGUACAUUUGAUUUGUGCCAUGUUGCUGGAGGUACCCAAUAUGGCAGCCAAUAGUCAUGAUGCAAAGCGCAAAUUCAUUAGUAAGACGCUUCGACGGUUGCUUGAGGUGAAUGAUAGGCAAACAUUCACGGGUCCCCCUGAAAAUGUCAGGGACCAUGUAUUGGCAGCCACCAGGGCUCUUAGCAAAGGUGACUUUCAGAAGGCCUUCGAUGUUGUCAAGUCCCUUGAUGUCUGGAGGCUGCUCAGAGACCGAGAGAAUGUUCUUGAGAUGCUGAAGGCCAAGAUAAAAGAAGAGGCUCUGAGGACCUACCUUUUCACCUAUUCGGCGUCAUAUGAUUCUAUGAGCUUGGACAACCUUGCCAGUAUGUUUGAUCUUUCAGAUGCCCAGACACACAGCAUUGUGAGCAAAAUGAUGAUCACCGAGGAGCUCCAUGCAAGUUUGGACCAACCAUCCCGGUGCAUCGUAUUUCAUGAUGUUGAGCACACUAGGUUGCAGGCUCUGGCAUUCGACUUGACGGAGAAGCUAUCAGUUCUUGCAGAAAGCAACGAGAGAGCAGUAGAGGCAAGGAUAGGUGGAGGUGGACUUGACCCCCUGCCUAUGAGGCGCAGGGAUGGCCAGGACUACGCUGCCGCUGCUGCUUCUGGUGGUGGAGGCAAGUGGCAAGACAACCAGACUUUCUCACAGGGAAGACAAGGCAAUACUGGUGGGCGAUCAGGAUACGGUGGCGGGAGACCUUUUGUUCCUGGCCAGAAUUCCGGAGGCGGCUACUCAAGGGAUCGAGCUGGUCAGUCAAGAGGAGCAGGAGGGUAUUCUUCGGGUUACCAGAGCACUCGAUAUCAAGAUGCUGCUUAUGGAGGGCCAGGUAGAAGUUAUCAGAAUAGUUCAGCAAGGGGAGGCCAGAUGGAUGGUUCAACCCGAAUGGUCAAUCUUAAUAGGGGGGUUCGGAUUUAGUAAACGAGAGCUAAGGAGAAGAGAAACACGACCAUUUUGAGUGCUUCCUGAAUCAGAAAACUAUUUAUCAAAAUUAGUAUUUAUUUUUUGUAUGUUGGAUCUGUUAUGAGAUUUUGAUUGCUGUGAACGAUAUUGCUUGUGACAAUUCUGUGUUUGCGACGUAAUAAUCUUAUGCUGUUGGACCAUCUUUAUUUUGAAAUUUUGACCGCGUCAUCUUAUAGUAGGUGAUUCCUUCAAUGUUAUGUUAUAUUUGGAGUUGGCUGCAUAUUUUUUGCUGCAUUUGACAAAGUUGAAAGAUCCAGAACAUGAGUAAUUUUAUAUCUACUGUGCUGAAGAAAUAAAUGACGAGUAUGGAACAACUUAUAUGGAAUCUAUCAUAAUUUCUGAAGAAAUCUAUUUCCUUUGGCUUGGGAGACAAAAGAAAAGAAAAAAGAAAAUUAUUUGAUCGUAUUUUAGGACAGUCAAUCCCAAGGAUGUAUUUAACAAGAGAUGUAUUAAACUAAUGUAAUUGUGCUACUUCUUUUGAGACUAUAUGAGACACCUAGUCUUACUCUUUACUUUUUUAACUUUAUUUUUGUUGAGUUAUGCUUCUGUGAUACUGAGAAUAGCCCCUCUUUUUAAUUUUCUUUUCUUUUAAUAACAAUAAUGUUGCAAUCACAUAAAAGUAUCACAUGCUGUUCAUAUACUGCAUAGGUGGCACCUAUGUAUUUGUUGUUGAGUUAAGUGGGUAAUGCCAACAAUAAAUCCAUGGGUACCACCACAUGCAGUAUGUGAUAUUUUAUGUGACAGUAACAUUAUUUUAAUAAUAAUAAUAUCCUUCUCACAUCAGAUAUCUCUCUCCCCCACAAUUUUCAGCUCACUCGCUACAUAGCCUCCAUCGUAAACCCUAGCUUUUCCUCAUCACCUGAAAUCGGAAAGGUGACUAUACAUCUAUUCUUCAAUUUCGCACUCUUUCUUCUUUUGAUUAUGUGUUAUUGUAAGGAAUUGAGAUCUGAAUUCAAUCCUUACUCACAAUUAACCAAACUCUUAAGAGAAUUAGGAAAAAAAUCAGAGAUUUGAGAGAUACUAAGAGAAGAGAAGAAGAAGAUUGAGAUACAGAGAGAAGAUUGAAAAUUAGGAGAAACAGAACAAUUCAUUUCAUGCAUUACUCAGUGACAUUAAAUGUAUUUAAAAUGAAAAUAGAAGUGAAACAGAAAUUACAAUUAUAUCAUUCUAAACCCACACUAUGAUUCUUGACACUCCACUCUACGAUUCUUGAUGCUCCACUCUACGAUUCCUUACAAUCCCUUCCCCUUAAAAGGGCCUUGUCCUCAAGGACGGAAUGUUGGAAAUCUAGUAUGUAUAUCAGAAAAAGUCUCCCAAGUAGCUUUAGAAGGCAGAGUGUUAGACCAUUGAAUUAACACUUCAGCACAGGUGCAGUAUUCUUCUUUACAAAUCUGCGAUCAAUGACUGCAGUAGGCUUAAUAAUGAAUUGUCCGUGAUCAUAUACUGAUGGCAAGACCGGAGACACCUAUGCUAAAACACCAAUUUUUUUCUUUAAAAGAGAGACAUGGAAUACAUGAUGAAUUUUGGCUUGAGGUGGUAGCAACAACUUAUAAGAAACAGGUCUAAUUCGUUCAAGCACUUGAAAUGACCCAUAAUAUUUUGAAUCUAACUUAGAGUACUUAGACUGUGUCAUAGAAAUUUUCUUGUAGGGUCGAACUCUUAAGUAUACCAUAUCUCCCACAACAAAUACCCUCUCCUGCAUAUGUGCAUCUGUAUAAUUUCGCAUCCUACACUGAGCCUUAGCCAAAUUAUCUUUCAAGAGUUGUAACAAUUGAUUCCUGGAAGCACAAAACUGCCUUGCCGUAGGAUCAGAAAUCUGGCCAUAUUGAUGGAAAGAUAUGUGGGAAGCUUCAUAACCAUAUAAAGCCUGAAAGGGAGUAAGUUGGGCACCAUUGUGGUAAUGGGUGUUGUACCACCAUUCUGCAAGUGACAACCAUUCACUCCAAACCUUAGGUGUGACGCCCCCAAAUUCGGGCAUCUUCCAACCCGACAGAUGGUGCUACACGGUGCUACAGUUCACAUAAACAUUUAAUUGAAAUGCCUCAAAAGAACGGAUAUGUCUAAUAUAUAUAUCAAAAGAAUAUUUACAUUUCCCAGGUUCUUUACAACCAAUACAUUGUCUUUGUCAUAAUAUCAAUAUUAUUCCUUACAAAAUCUAUACUAUUACAUAUGCAAUCUACGGGUUCGCUUUCGCCUUCCCUUUAUCCUUGCCGAAUCCAUCAGUCCGUUCUGUUUUAGCUGCAUUCAUAUGGUUCAAGCAAGAAUGAGCCUAACUAGCUUAGCAAGUACAACAAUUCUAAUAAAAUAGCAUGCUUGAAACAUAGUAAUCAUAUAUCUUCAAUAAUUGAACAAUAGUUACGAAGUACUAUUGAUAAGUCAAAAUAGCACUUCUUUUCAUUCAAAACGUUUUACAACAACAAUAUUCAGUAAAACAUCAAUUCCGGUUCAAGACCAUAAACAUUUCAUAAGUACUUUGAAAAGGACAUCCCGGCACAAAGUCCGUAAGUCCGGUAUAGCUUACGAGCACGUCUAGGUGAUCAACCUAUAAUACUCUAUGUUGAUCAACACUACAUUCAUUAAACGUGCAUACGUUUAAGUUGUGGCAACCUCACGUGCCUGUCGUUUGACGACAAAACAGUUUAGCAUAUUCAGCCUACCUUUGAAAAACCACAACAAUAUUAGUUUGAUAAAUCCUUAUCAAUACUUGAUAUAAGAACAUAGCAUACGUCCAGCCGAAAGGAUUGGCUUGACUUCCUCAGAUACUAACUCAUGUGAAGAAUACAUGAAUCACAAAGACUUGUCCAGAUCGAACUGGAACAAGGGUUAGAGUACUUGCCUUUAGCGUCUGCUACGAUUUAUAACACGUACACUUUAGGUCUUUAAGGUCUCUACAGUAAUUGAUAACAACACAUAGUACAUUAGGUCAAGAAUGAUUACACAUGGUUCUUAAAGAAUCUUACCCUUCUUUUCAAUCUAAAUACAUAUUAGAUUUGUUAUUAUAGGUUACGGCUUUCCAUUACGUCAUUCUUACAUUCAUAAGUAAUUGACUUAGUCUUAACCUUAAGUGUGCAUACUUAAGUUCUAAUAUGUUCAUCCAUUACUAAUCAUGUAAACAUUCAUUACUAUUUAAGUUAUGAAGCUGGCGCUGCAGCGCCGGUUAUUGUACUUGAUACUGCGCUGCGGCGCUAUCUCUUAUUGCUCAAAAAUUCGGACUCGGCGCUGCGGCGCGAGUCUCAGUGUUAAUGGUCGCGCUGCGGCGCCACUCUCCAGAAGGUUAUGGCCACUUUGGCGCUGCGGCGCGGGCUUAUUUGCCUUGGGCUGGCGCCGCGGCGCCAACUCUGUGCACCAGAAAACUUUUACAGACUUUUUAUUUUGUGAGAUUCCUGGACUCGUAACUUCUUCGUUAUAAGUCCGAAUUGGCUCGUUCAAGAGCCUACGGUUCACAAAUCACGUACUCUAUGCUUUCAUGCAAGAAUUUAAUCUAAUCGACUUUGUUUGCUAAAAUUUCACCUAUUAAUCCAUUUUUAACGAAAAUGAUAAACGUUCGUGAACGUUUAACGCUCGUUUCUUCGUUCUCAGUCGGAAUCCGGCCAUUUUCGAGUCCGCAACUCUAUAAUGCCAAAUAUGACUUGUCUCCAUUGAAAACCAAUGUUUCCAAUGUCAAACACAAAAUACGACUUUCAUUCCGAGAAUUUCACGAAUUCGACGAUUAUCGUCAAAUCGUGUAAAUUCCGGCAAAACCUCAUAAUGAAACAUUCUAGGUGGAUUUUAAUCAACAUGUAAGUAUUACAAGUUACUUAUAACACCAACUUAUUAUCAAAGUAGGUUUUGACUUAUUUUUAUACGUUAAUGACUUACUUAACUUAUGAACUCAAAUUCUCAUGCUUAUGACUUAUUAUGAACUUAAGUCCAUCAAUCAAUAUUCUCAUACUAUAUUGAUCAUAUUAACAUCAUAUGACAAAUUGUGUACAAGGUUAUCAACUUAUUUAGAUUCAAGUUGCUUAUUCAUCUUAUUCGGCUUAAGUCCAUUGCUUAUCCAUUUCUCUUAUAUUCUUAACAUCUAAGUUCAUUAGUUACAAUUCUCUUAUCAACCUACCAUGAUAGAGAUGAAGAAAACAAGAUUAUUUACCUUAGAUGAUUACUUCACUUGCUUUUGGAAAUCUACUAAGGAAAGAUUAAGCUCAAAGUGCUUAUUGACUCUAACAAAUAAGUUGUUUGAGAGAGAGUUGAGAGAGAUUUUUAAUCAAGCAAACAAAUGAAUUUGGAGCUCUCUAUUUAUAGACUUUCUAAAGUGAGGGUAGAAUGGGCUUUAUGGCAUCCCACCUCCUUAAGCUAACCUCCUUACUAUUCAUGCCUUAAUCACUAAGUAAUCUUGCUCCACACAUCUUAUACUUGGCCACCACACUUAAUUCUUGCCCAUCACAUAACUUGUUUGCCCAUCAAGCUUACCCAUGGGUUGGCCCAUGGAUCCUUAUUAGCUAAUGGAUCAUGGUUUGGGCUUAACAAUCAAUCUAGCAAUUUCUUUGUUGGGCUUGCACUAUAAUAGUUUGGGCUUCACCUUAUAAAUCACUUGGGUUUAGUAUAAAUCCUACAUAGGUUUACACCUUAUAGUCUAUGGACUUGUAUUUUAUGCCAAGCUAUAUUAAUUCAUUUCAUUAGGUUUUAGUACCUACAUUCUCAAAUUAAGUCCACAAGCAAAAUAUUGCGUUUUCCAUACUUAGAUUAUUAUUACAUAAUCCAUCCCGCCUUGAUAUUCUAACGUUACGUAAUUCUCGGAAGUUCAAAAAUAAUUCCCGAGCAAUAAACGGUGAAUAGUGUUUUUUAUAAACUUUCUCGAAAAACAUUUAUUUUUGUCUUGGAAAUUUAAACACUUUAAUUUUCUCACGUGGUUCGAAUACUACGAUAUUCCGACGUUUCUAGGUUAUAGAACGACAUACAUCUUAUUAACACAUAUAAUAACAAAUAAUAUUAUUUUAUUCAUUAAUUAAUUCUUUCAAAUAUUUUUACAAAGGAUCCGAAUUUCUCGGGCGUUACAUUAGGUCUUUGACUACACAUGCAUCUUAAGUAAGUCUCUACACACUGAUUCAAUUUCUCAGACUGACCAUUACUUUGAGGAUGGUAAGCUGUGCUAAGUUGCAAACGAGUACCCAAUGGCUGCCAUAAAUGCCCAAUAAAAUUUUUAUCCCUAUUUGAAACUAUUGAUGAGGGUAAUCCAUGCAAUUUAUAAAUGUUGUCAAGGAAUAUAGUAGCUAUAUCAGUAAUAGUAAAUGGAUGUUUCAACCCCACAAAAUGAGCAUAUUUGGUAAGUCUGUCUAUGACUACCAAAAUAGAAGUAUACCCAUGAGACUUAGGUAACCCUUCAAUAAAAUCCAUGGCAAUAUCCUUCCAUGGUGUUUCAGGAAUAGCCAAGGGUUAUAACAACCUAGGAGUAGCGCUAGUUUCAUGCUUGCUUAGCUGACAAACCUCACAUUCUUUUACAAAUGUGAUCACAUUAGACCUUAGAGUAGGCCAAUAAAAAUACUGAGAUAUCCUUUCAAAAGUACCUCUGCGCCCUGAAUGGCCCCCAAUGGGAGAACUGUGAAAUUCUUGUAAAAGUUUGAGCCUUACCUCUGAAGAAUUUCCCACAACCAACUUACCCUUAUACCGCAUCCUUCCAUUCACAAAAGAAUAAUCAAGUACUGAGGAAGGACUCAGUACUAAUUGAGAGAUAAUUUGUUGCAGGUCUGCAUCAGUUGCCAAUAUUUUAGCUACAUCUUGAACCCAUUUAGGUAAUAUUGUAGUGAGAGCUGAUCAAUUUUGAACACCAGUUCCCAUUCCACACAUAGAAUUUUCAACAAAUUACCUAGACAAUCCAUUUGCUGCUAAAUUCUCCUUGCCUUUCUUGUACCAUAUCUCGUAAUCUAGUCCCAUGAGCUUGGUAAUCCACUUUUGCUGAUUAGUAGUAGUAAUUCGUUGAGCCAACAAAUACUUGAGACUUUGAUGAUUUAUUUUAAUAAUGAAUUUUUUGCCCACUAGAUAAUGUCUCCAUUUCUUCACCGCAUAUACAACAACCAUCAGUUCUUUCUCAUAGGUCGAUAAUCCUAAAUGCUUAGAAGCAAUGGCCUUGCUUAAAAAAGAAAUUGGUCUAUCCCUCUGCAUUAACACUACUCCUAUACUAAUACCACUAUCAUUAGUCUCUACUACAAAUGGAAUGGUAAAAUUAGGCAUAAAUAAAACUGGAGCAUUAACCAUAGCUUGUUUAAGAUUGUCAAAAGCUGCCUCAGCCUCAGGACUCCAUUGAAAUUGAUCUUUCCUUAACAUGUCAGUUAAUGGCUUAUUAAGAAAACCAUAAUGCUUAAUAAAUUUUCUAUAGUAUCCUGUUAAACCCAAGAAUCCUCUUAAACUCUUAAGGUUCAUGAGCUUGGGCCACUUAACCAUACAUUCCACCUUAGUUGGAUUAGUUGAUACUCCUUUAGAAGUAAUGAUAUGACCAAGGUAUUGUACCUUUUUGUAGCAAAGGUACACUUGGACAUUUUUGCAUACAAUUCAUGUUGCCUUCCUACAAAGUCAUCUNNNNNNNNNNNNNNNNNNNNNNNNNNNNNNNNNNNNNNNNNNNNNNNNNNNNNNNNNNNNNNNNNNNNNNNNNNNNNNNNNNNNNNNNNNNNNNNNNNNNUUUUGAAUCAGGGAUUUUUAAUCUACAUUUGUGAUUGAAGUUUACAUUUUUUAUUUUGAUUUAUUAUACGUUUUACAUGUUCAAUUAUUUGAUUUAGCUGCUUCUUUCGUGCAGUUCGUUGUGAUUUUUGAUUUGUUAGACUUAUCUUGUACGAGAAAAUGGCAUCCCGAUUUUGGACCCAGGUUUGUGUGUGAUUUGAUACCCAGUUUAGUUGUUGAUUUCAAGAUCAAUUAUCAAACUACCCUUCUGCUUCUAGUGAUCAAUUUAUGUUUCUAUUUCUAUUUUUCUGAAUGUGAUUUAUGUUUAAUUUUCUAAUGAAUCAAUGAGAGGGAGAUAGUGAAUUCGAGGAAGAGGAGAGUGAUUAUGAGAAGGAGGAUAAUACUGCCGGAGUGGGAGACUCUGCAGCUGAAACCGCGGGUAGCAGAUAUCUCCAGGAUAAAGCAAGCGACGUUGAUGAUUCGGAUGGGCAGAAACACUUGGUAAAAUCGGCCAAGGACAAGCGCUUUGAGGAGAUGGCAUCAACUGUUGAUCAGAUGAAGAACUAAAUGAAGAUUAAUGAUUUAGUUAGUCUACAAGAGAGUUAUGAUAAGAUUAAUAAGUAGCUUGAGAAGGCCAUGAGGGUCACAUAAUCAGAGAAGGUCCCCAAUCUUUACGUUAAAGCUCUUGUUAUGUUGGAGGACUUCUUGAAUCAGGCCAUGGUGAAUAAGGAGGCCAAAAAGAAAAUGAGUAGCAGUAAUGCUAAGGCCUUGAAUUCAAUGAAACAGAAACUGAAGAAAAACAACAGGCAGUAUGAGGAGG